GGAAGUGUAGUUUAUUUAGAAUGUUGCUUUUGUAAAGCUUUGGUAUUAGUUUUGUUGCUUUCU
RNAcentral lists this transfer RNA (63 nucleotides) under Brachydistomum sp. PakPr2. Its description in RNAcentral is "tRNA-Thr". The record is from RNAcentral. Lineage: Eukaryota; Metazoa; Platyhelminthes; Trematoda; Plagiorchiida; Dicrocoeliidae.